GGACUCCCAGGUCCUCCCAUUCUGUGGUCAUCACUGAACACACAACACUCAUGGAGUUCAGACUGAGCUGGGUUUUCCUUGUGGCUGUAUUAAAAGGUGUCCAGUCUGAUGUGCAGCUGGUGGAGUCGGGAGGAGGCUUGGCACAGCCUGGAAAGUCCCUGAAACUCUCCUGCACAGCCUCUGGAUUUACUUUUAGUAAUGCCUGGAUGAACUGGGUCCGCCAGGCUCCGGGGAAGGGGCUGGAGUGGGUUGCAGAAGUUAGAUUCAAAGCUUAUAAUUAUGCAACAUACUAUGGGGAGUCUGUGAAAGGCAGGUUCACCAUCUCAAGAGACGACUCCAAAAGCAGCGUCUACUUGGAAAUGAACAGCUUAAGAGCAGACGACACCGCCAUUUAUUUCUGUGCUGCACGCACACGGUGA
Molecule: non-coding RNA, 419 nt
Organism: Phodopus roborovskii (desert hamster)
Lineage: Eukaryota; Metazoa; Chordata; Mammalia; Rodentia; Cricetidae
Source: the annotation of a RefSeq genome assembly